Molecule: long non-coding RNA, 644 nt
Filed under: Bos indicus x Bos taurus (hybrid cattle)
Lineage: Eukaryota; Metazoa; Chordata; Mammalia; Artiodactyla; Bovidae
Description: lncRNA (ENSBIXG00005007904.1)
Source: RNAcentral
GGGAUCGUUGCAGGACACGGGUGUGAGUCUGGGAGCCGUGGGACUCAGGGAGAUUUCUGCUGAUGGCCCCAGGGCUCCUCAAGGCCACCCUGGAAGAGGGAAGCCGAGGGUGCAAUCCUGCAGGUGGGUGGGAAUCGGGGGAAAAGCGACAAGCUCCACAGAAGAUAAAACCUUCUGACAGACCUGCCGGCUGAGGGGAGUGGAGCUGGGAUCAGGCAGCGAACAGCACGGACACACCAGUGGUCAAGGAGAGGCCGGGCAGAGGUCUCCCGGGCACUGUCACUGAUGGGCACUUGCUGAGUCACGGCAGCACUAGCGCAUUCACCGUCCUCACCCCACGUGAUUGGCGCCACCUAACGCGGCAGGUAUGUUUACCCCGGUUUCACAGGUGAGGCACCAGGUCCAGCACCCUGCCCCAGGACCCCAGCAGCAGGUCCACACCCGUGCGACCCCUCGGACCCUGCUCGCCCACCAGCACUGCGUCCAGCAGGUACGCUGGACUCCUGGAGACACUGUGCUCGGGAAGCCUCCAUCCUGAGGGGAGGAAGAUGCACCCGGUGGAGUUUGGGGUGCUCCUUCAUGCUCCAGAGUUGGGCAGCUGAGCUGCAGGAGCUGGGAGGCUGUGUGCUAAGUGGAGUUGAGGU